Long non-coding RNA from Symphalangus syndactylus (siamang), 839 nucleotides. RefSeq lists it as uncharacterized. NCBI's taxonomy places the organism in Eukaryota, Metazoa, Chordata, Mammalia, Primates, Hylobatidae. The record is from RefSeq and is a predicted model, not a curated record.
AAGGCUCUCGUGUGUUAGCCUGUGCUUCUUCUCGCCUCGUAGUUUAAAGAAGGCGGAAGUAGACUCUGGUGCCACGCUCUGGAGGCUGGAGCCGGGAGCAUGGAGCCUGUGGCACCAGGGCUUGCCUCUGCGUGGUGUGUGGCGGCAAUGGAGAGGGGCAGUAGACAGUGAUAGCUGCUCCGUGCAGGGCUACAGGAAAGAAAGAAGUAGUCACCUACCACAGGCUGGAGGCUAGAGCCUGCGGGACUGUGGCUGGCCUUGCUGGCUCGCCUCACUGGCUUGCCUCACUGCGGUUUGUGGCAGCGACGGACACUGCAGCUGGCUAGAGCGUAGGAAGGUGAUGGGGCUUUCUUGGCUUUGCCUGCCCAGCUGUUACAUGCCAGGAGGAGGAGGAGUUACAUGCUGGAAGCUUGCAGAUGGCCUGGGGCUGCCGGUCGCCUCGCUGAGGUUGGUGGCGGCUACUGAGACUGCCUCGCGCCAGAGUAGGAGAACGACCAGCUGCGGCCAUGGCAGUGGCAGGGCUGCGGCGGUGGCCAGAAUGCAUUCCUUCUACUUACAAAAAAAAAGUUAACUGUGAAACCGCCUGAGGCAGGCCCUUCAGGAGCUAUUUCAGAAGAAGACAUUGUUACCAUGGGAGAUGACAGCUCCAUGUGUGGUAUUGCUUCAGAAGACCUUCCAGUGGGACAAGAUGUGGAGAUGGAAGACUGAUACUGAUGAUCCUGACCCAGUGUAGGCCUAGGCUAGUGUGUGUGUAUUUGUGUCUUAGCUUUUACCAAAACGAAGUUUAAAAAAUUUGUAUGCUUAUUUUUUGUUCUGAAUACUUACCAAGAUACAACUUA